Non-coding RNA from Pelobates cultripes (western spadefoot toad), 1316 nucleotides. The record is from the annotation of a GenBank genome assembly. Lineage: Eukaryota; Metazoa; Chordata; Amphibia; Anura; Pelobatidae.
GAUGAUUAUGGCUUACAGCUCAUGAAAACCCCAAAUCCACAAUCUCAGUAAAUUAGAAUAUUACAUGCAAUCAAUUAAACAAGGAGUGUACAUAGAACAAUAUCGGACCUCUGAAAAGUAUAAGCAUGCAUAUGGACUCAGUACUUGGUUUGGGCCCCUUUUGCAGCAAUUACUGCCUCAAUGUGGCGUGGCAUGGAAGCUAUCAGCCUGUGACACUGCUGAGGUGUUAUGGAAGACCAGGAUGUUUUAAUAGCGGCCUUCAGCUCUUCUGCAUUGUUCCGUCUCAUUUCUCACAUCUUUCUCUUGGCAAUGCCCCAUAGAUUCUCUAUGGGGUUCAGGUCAGGUGAGUUUGCAGGCCAAUCAAGCACAGUAAUCCCAUGGUCAUUGAACCAGGCUUUGGUGCUUUAAGCAGUGUGGGCAGGUGCCAAGUCCUGCUGGAAAAUGAAGUCAGCAUCAUGAAGUCAAUAUCACCAUAAAGCUUGUCUGCGGAAGGAAGCAUGAAGUGCACCAAAAUCUCCUGGUAGAUGACUGCGUUGACCUUGGACUUAAUAAAGCACAGUGGACCAACACCAGCAGAUGACAUGGCUUUCCAAAUCAACACAGACUGUGGAAACUUCACACUGGAUUUCAAGCAUCUUUCAGUGUGUGCCUCUCCAUUCUUCCUCCAGACUCUGGGUCCUUGGUUUCCAAAUGAAAUGCAAAAGUUGCUCUCAUCAGAAAAGAGGACUUUGGACCACUGAGCAACAGACCAGGUCUGUUUUUAUUUAGCCCAGUUAAGACGCUUCUGAUGUUGUUUGUUAUUCAGGAGCGGCUUGACAAGAGGAAUACGACAUCUGAAGCCCAUGUCCAGGAUCCGUCUGUGUGUGGUGGCUCUUGAUACACUGACUCCAGCCUCAGUCCACUCCUUGUGAAAGUCUCCAACACAUUUGAAUAGCCUUUUCCUGACAAUCCUCUCCAGGCGGCAGUCAUCCCUGUUGCUUGUGCACCUUUUUCUUCCACACUUUUCCCUUCCACAUAACUUUCUAUUAAGGUGCUUUGAUACAGCACUUUGGGAACAUCCAACUUCCUUCACAAUUACCUUUUGAGGCUUUCCCUCCUUAUGGAGGGUGUUAAUGAUGGUUUUCUGCACAACUGUUAGGUCAGCAGUCUUCCCCAUGAUUGUGAUUCCUACUGAACCAGACUGAGAGACCAUUUAAAGGCUCAGAAACCCUUUGCAGGUGUUAUGGCUUACUUAGCUGAUUAGAGUGGGACUAUGUGAGCCUAGAAUAUUGCACCUUUUCACAAUAUGCUAAUUUACUGAGAUUGUGGAUUUGGGG